Molecule: unclassified non-coding RNA, 298 nt
Filed under: uncultured fungus
Lineage: Eukaryota; Fungi
Description: sequence contains ITS1
Rfam family: 5.8S ribosomal RNA (bases 1-105)
Source: RNAcentral
GAAAUGCGAUAAGUAAUGUGAAUUGCAGAAUUCAGUGAAUCAUCGAAUCUUUGAACGCACAUUGCGCCCCUUGGCAUUCCGAGGGGCAUGCCUGUCCGAGCGUCAUACACUCCAUCCCCUCCGGGGGGUCUUGGGCCAUGCCGGCGCGAGCGCGGCAGACCCCGAAUCCAGUGGCGGGCCCCGCGCGCACUCGAGCGUAGUAGUUCAUCUCGCCCAGAUGCGCGCGCGGAGGUCGACCAGCAAGCCUUCUACACGUUAGGUGGACCUCGGAUCAGGUAGGAAUACCCGCUGAACUUAA